This 374-nucleotide ribosomal RNA is filed under the name uncultured Hydrogenophaga sp. RNAcentral describes it as "bacterial SSU rRNA". It matches the Rfam family "Bacterial small subunit ribosomal RNA", at positions 1001 to 1382 of the family's 1533-position model. The record is from RNAcentral. Lineage: Bacteria; Pseudomonadati; Pseudomonadota; Betaproteobacteria; Burkholderiales; Comamonadaceae.
UAGAGAUAGAAAGUUACUUCGGUACAUCGGUGACAGGUGGUGCAUGGUUGUCGUCAGCUCGUGUCGUGAGAUGUUGGGUUAAGUCCCGCAACGAGCGCAACCCUUGCCAUCAGUUGCUACGAAAGGGCACUCUGAUGGGACUGCCGGUGACAAACCGGAGGAAGGUGGGGAUGACGUCAAGUCCUCAUGGCCCUUAUAGGUGGGGCUACACACGUCAUACAAUGGCCGGUACAAAGGGCAGCAAACCCGCGAGGGGGAGCCAAUCCAUCAAAGCCGGUCGUAGUCCGGAUCGCAGUCUGCAACUCGACUGCGUGAAGUCGGAAUCGCUAGUAAUCGUGGAUCAGCAUGUCACGGUGAAUACGUUCCCGGGUCUU